This is a long non-coding RNA of Galleria mellonella (greater wax moth), 306 nucleotides long. RefSeq lists it as uncharacterized. NCBI's taxonomy places the organism in Eukaryota, Metazoa, Arthropoda, Insecta, Lepidoptera, Pyralidae. The transcript is spliced from 3 exons. The record is from RefSeq and is a predicted model, not a curated record.
GCUGGAGUUAAUUAGACUGUGACCAACACAAAUUUAAAGUAAGAAUUAUUAGACCUCAUAUACACAGACGAAUUGUUGUUGCCCGCUUGUUUCCCACUGCAACUCCAACCCCACCUCAUAGCUAACGAGCAAAAAGCCUCGCUAUACUCAGCACCACGAAUUACCCAGAUUCCGGGUAAUUACAGAGUGCCAACCCUAUCUGAACACUAUGUCAUCGUGACGUCAUUAACGAUGUUGUUUCACUGAAAAACAGCGACUUCAAACGAGGCGAAAUAAAUAUGGGAUCAACACUGGAGUAGGAAACUU